This 211-nucleotide ribosomal RNA is filed under the name uncultured bacterium. RNAcentral's name for it is "partial 16S ribosomal RNA". It matches the Rfam family "Bacterial small subunit ribosomal RNA", at positions 1290 to 1500 of the family's 1533-position model. The record is from RNAcentral.
AGUUCAGAUUGCAGGCUGCAACUCGCCUGCAUGAAGUUGGAAUUGCUAGUAAUCGCGAAUCAGAAUGUCGCGGUGAAUACGUUCCCGGGUCUUGUACACACCGCCCGUCACACCAUGGGAGUCGGAAAUGCCCGAAGUCAGUGACCUAACCGAAAGGGAGGAGCUGCCGAAGGUGGAGCCGGUAACUGGGGUGAAGUCGUAACAAGGUACC